GCCUAAAGCGUCCGUAGCCUGCUCUGUAAGUUUUCGGUUAAAUCUGUACGCUUAACGUACAGGCCGCCGGAAAUACUGCAGAGCUAGGGAGUGGGAGAGGUAGACGGUACUCGGGAGGAAGUGGUAAAAUGCUUUGAUCUCUCGAUGACCACCUGUGGCGAAGGCGGUCUACCAGAACACGUCCGACGGUGAGGGAUGAAAGCUGGGGGAGCAAACCGGAUUAGAUACCCGGGUAGUCCCAGCCGUAAACUAUGCAAACUCAGUGAUGCAUUGGCUUGUGGCCAAUGCAGUGUUGCAGGGAAGCCGUUAAGUUUGCCGCCUGGGAAGUACGUACGCAAGUAUGAAACUUAAAGGAAUUGGCGGGGGAGCACCACAAGGGGUGAAGCCUGCGGUUCAAUUGGAGUCAACGCCAGAAAUCUUACCCGGAGAGACAGCAGAAUGAAGGUCAAGCUGAAGACUUUACCAGACAAGCUGAGAGGUGGUGCAUGGCCGUCGCCAGCUCGUGCCGUGAGAUGUCCUGUUAAGUCAGGUAACGAGCGAGAUCCCUGCCUCUAGUUGCCACCAUUACUCUCAGGAGUAGUGGGGCGAAUUAGCGGGACCGCCGCAGUUAAUGCGGAGGAAGGAAGGGGCCACGGCAGGUCAGUAUGCCCCGAA
RNAcentral lists this ribosomal RNA (654 nucleotides) under uncultured archaeon. Its description in RNAcentral is "bacterial SSU rRNA". It matches the Rfam family "Archaeal small subunit ribosomal RNA", at positions 508 to 1160 of the family's 1478-position model. The record is from RNAcentral.